This 2587-nucleotide small RNA is filed under the name Metarhizium anisopliae. RNAcentral describes it as "SSU rRNA". It matches the Rfam family "Eukaryotic small subunit ribosomal RNA". The record is from RNAcentral. Lineage: Eukaryota; Fungi; Ascomycota; Sordariomycetes; Hypocreales; Clavicipitaceae.
GUAGUCAUAUGCUUGUCUCAAAGAUUAAGCCAUGCAUGUCUAAGUAUAAGCAAUUAUACAGCGAAACUGCGAAUGGCUCAUUAUAUAAGUUAUCGUUUAUUUGAUAGUACCUUACUACUUGGAUAACCGUGGUAAUUCUAGAGCUAAUACAUGCUAAAAAUCCCGACUUCGGAAGGGAUGUAUUUAUUAGAUACAAAACCAAUGCCCCUCGGGGCUCUCUGGUGAUUCAUGAUAACUCGUCGAAUCGCACGGCCUUGCGCCGGCGAUGGUUCAUUCAAAUUUCUUCCCUAUCAACUUUCGAUGUUUGGGUAGUGGCCAAACAUGGUGGCAACGGGUAACGGAGGGUUAGGGCUCGACCCCGGAGAAGGAGCCUGAGAAACGGCUACUACAUCCAAGGAAGGCAGCAGGCGCGCAAAUUACCCAAUCCCGAUACGGGGAGGUAGUGACAAUAAAUACUGAUACAGGGCUCUUUUGGGUCUUGUAAUUGGAAUGAGUACAAUUUAAAUCCCUUAACGAGGAACAAUUGGAGGGCAAGUCUGGUGCCAGCAGCCGCGGUAAUUCCAGCUCCAAUAGCGUAUAUUAAAGUUGUUGUGGUUAAAAAGCUCGUAGUUGAAUCUUGGGCCUGGCUGGCCGGUCCGCCUCACCGCGUGUACUGGUCCGGCCGGGUCUUUCACUCUGCGGAACCACAUGCCCUUCAGUGGGUGUGGCGGGGAAGCAGGACGUUUACUUUGAAAAAAUUAGAGUGCUCUAAGCAGGCCAAUGCUCGGAUACAUUAGCAUGGAAUAAUAAAAUAGGACGCGCGGUUCUAUUUUGUUGGUUUCUAGGACCGCCGUAAUGAUGAAUAGGGACAGUCGGGGGCAUCAGUAUUCAGUUGUCAGAGGUGAAAUUCUUGGAUCUACUGAAGACUAACUACUGCGAAAGCAUUUGCCAAGGAUGUUUUCAUUAAUCAGGAACGAAAGUUAGGGGAUCGAAGACGAUCAGAUACCGUCGUAGUCUUAACCAUAAACUAUGCCGACUAGGGAUCGGACGAUGUUAUUUAGUUGACUCGUUCGGCACCUUACGAGAAAUCAAAGUGCUUGGGCUCCAGGGGGAGUAUGGUCGCAAGGCUGAAACUUAAAGAAAUUGACGGAAGGGCACCACCAGGGGUUAACGUAAACUGUAAGCCGCAGUCAACUCUGCCCCUAAAAGCUGCCCGAUAAAAAGGGUCGGUGGUGUGCCUAAACUAAGAGCUAUGUCCCUGUGCUGUGGUCCCUCGGGGGGAGCACGGGGGCGACACCCUCAAACUGACGGGGAACCCCUAAAGCCAUCCGCUCCGGCCUCCGCUUAGGAAACUCUGCGAGAGGCACCAGGUUAACGGCCUGGGUAUCGGAACAAAUUCGCGGUGGAUGUUACAAUGGGCAAUCCGCAGCCAAGCCCCUAAGUGCACUGCAAUUGCGGCGCAUACGGGGAAGGUUCAGAGACUUGACGGGGGUGGGUGGGUGCGCACGUCCGCUGCACGGCGGGCGUGUUAUUCAAAGCGUUAUGCCCGCUUAAGAUAAAGUCCCGGAGGGGCGCUGAAAGGUGCUCCCUCCACAGCUUGUUCGCACUGAACAGGCCCUGUAAAUUAAACGGGAGCCUGCGGCUUAAUUUGACUCAACACGGGGAAACUCACCAGGUCCAGACACAAUGAGGAUUGACAGAUUGAGAGCUCUUUCUUGAUUUUGUGGGUGGUGGUGCAUGGCCGUUCUUAGUUGGUGGAGUGAUUUGUCUGCUUAAUUGCGAUAACGAACGAGACCUUAACCUGCUAAAUAGUCAGUAUUGCUAUGGCAGUACGCGGGCUUCUUAGAGGGACUAUCGGCUCAAGCCGAUGGAAGUUUGAGGCAAUAACAGGUUGACCUACACAGGCCUGUAACAGUGGUCCUCAAGUAUAAAAAAAAUCCGCUAGUCCAGUAACUUAACCUCCGUAGGGGAAGUCCCCUUUUAUCGGGCGGGGGAGCAUGCGGGGGAUUAAACCCCCCCGCCUCUGCUUGUUUCGGGCAACACCACCUGGUACAGGGAACGCCUAACGGCCGAUCCUGUGGCGAGCUCGGGUAACGCCGAGCCGUCGCAACGCGCGCUAAGGGGUGGGCUAAGCCUCCGGGCUGGCUUAAGGUACGUGCUAAUCCCAUGGGAUAAAAACCAUGCCGACAUACAGAGCCCCGAUAAGGCGAAGUAUGCCGGGGCGCCCCCGGGCGCUGGUAUCGCAGGCGGCUCCGAGUCGCCUGUGAGAAAUGCUGUGAUGCCCUUAGAUGUUCUGGGCCGCACGCGCGCUACACUGACGGAGCCAGCGAGUAAUUCCUUGGCCGGAAGGCCCGGGUAAUCUUGUUAAACUCCGUCGUGCUGGGGAUAGAGCAUUGCAAUUAUUGCUCUUCAACGAGGAAUCCCUAGUAAGCGCAAGUCAUCAGCUUGCGUUGAUUACGUCCCUGCCCUUUGUACACACCGCCCGUCGCUACUACCGAUUGAAUGGCUCAGUGAGGCGUCCGGACUGGCCCAGGGAGGUGGGCAACUACCACCCAGGGCCGGAAAGCUCUCCAAACUCGGUCAUUUAGAGGAAGUAAAAGUCGUAACA